RNAcentral lists this transfer RNA (60 nucleotides) under Saccharomyces paradoxus. RNAcentral's name for it is "tRNA-Thr". It matches the Rfam family "tRNA", at positions 1 to 58 of the family's 71-position model. From Rfam's summary of the family: Transfer RNA (tRNA) molecules are approximately 80 nucleotides in length. Their secondary structure includes four short double-helical elements and three loops (D, anti-codon, and T loops). Further hydrogen bonds mediate the characteristic L-shaped molecular structure. tRNAs have two regions of fundamental functional importance: the anti-codon, which is responsible for specific mRNA codon recognition, and the 3' end, to which the tRNAs corresponding amino acid is attached (by aminoacyl-tRNA synthetases). tRNAs cope with the degeneracy of the genetic code in two manners: having more than one tRNA (with a specific anti-codon) for a particular amino acid; and 'wobble' base-pairing, i.e. permitting non-standard base-pairing at the 3rd anti-codon position. Lineage: Eukaryota; Fungi; Ascomycota; Saccharomycetes; Saccharomycetales; Saccharomycetaceae. The record is from RNAcentral.
GCUUCUAUGGCCAAGUUGGUAAGGCGCCACACUAGUAAUGUGGAGAUCAUCGGUUCAACU